Molecule: long non-coding RNA, 385 nt
Filed under: Triticum aestivum (bread wheat)
Lineage: Eukaryota; Viridiplantae; Streptophyta; Magnoliopsida; Poales; Poaceae
Description: long non-coding RNA (TAES_LNC023330)
Source: RNAcentral
AUGACCUUGAUUUUACUAUCACACAAAAACUUGAUGCUAACUCAGAUGAAUGUCUACUCACAACAGUGGGGGCUGAAUACCAAUCUUAUACACCAUGGAUGAGCGUUGCCUCACAACAGUGGGACGUCCCACAGCCACGCAAUGCAGCUAAUGAGUCGAGACCGCAACAAAAUCGACGAUGGCACGGCGACCAACAGGGCAGCUAAUGGUGAAAGCUUUGCAAUCCAACCUUGCUCAUCAACCUCAUAACCAGCGACCAACACACAACAAACUUACAAAAAGGACGAGUCACUCAUCCAACCCUCUGACACCCUUGGUCGUCGUGGACGCAUUGGUACUGCUACUCUGGCUCCUUGUCUCCUCGUGCGCCCUCUCUAGCUCGGCU